RNAcentral lists this ribosomal RNA (384 nucleotides) under uncultured beta proteobacterium. RNAcentral's name for it is "bacterial SSU rRNA". It matches the Rfam family "Bacterial small subunit ribosomal RNA", at positions 430 to 806 of the family's 1533-position model. Lineage: Bacteria; Pseudomonadati; Pseudomonadota; Betaproteobacteria. The record is from RNAcentral.
CUGCUUUUGUACGGAACGAAAAGGUUUGGCCUAAUAAGCUGAGCUCAUGACGGUACCGUAAGAAUAAGCACCGGCUAACUACGUGCCAGCAGCCGCGGUAAUACGUAGGGUGCGAGCGUUAAUCGGAAUUACUGGGCGUAAAGCGUGCGCAGGCGGUUAUGUAAGACAGAUGUGAAAUCCCCGGGCUCAACCUGGGAACUGCAUUAGUGACUGCAUAGCUGGAGUACGGCAGAGGGGGAUGGAAUUCCGCGUGUAGCAGUGAAAUGCGUAGAUAUGCGGAGGAACACCGAUGGCGAAGGCAAUCCCCUGGGCCUGUACUGACGCUCAUGCACGAAAGCGUGGGGAGCAAACAGGAUUAGAUACCCUGGUAGUCCACGCCCUAAA